RNAcentral lists this long non-coding RNA (725 nucleotides) under Nicotiana tabacum (common tobacco). RNAcentral describes it as "long non-coding RNA (NTAB_LNC008736)". Lineage: Eukaryota; Viridiplantae; Streptophyta; Magnoliopsida; Solanales; Solanaceae. The record is from RNAcentral.
GCCCAUUUGCCCUUAAUAUAAACCCCCUUUAUAAUUUUUUCCCCCAUUUGAACCUUAAACCUAAGAAGUCAAAGAUGCGAUGCCCCUUUCUACUGUUCAUCUUCCCCAACUCUCAACUCGCCCUCAACUCACCAUUAAUUCACCCGAGUUCAUUCAAAAUGGUCCCCCUCCACGUCAUUUGAUUCGUAAUGGUUUUUUGUCAGUGGGGAGUACGAAUUUUCUCUCCCAAAUAGCACGAUUUCGGAUUCAAAAGGACAAUUGUUGGACCAAUGGGAGCCGUGUAUAGAUGUAAAUCGAUCCACGCCUUCCAUUUGUCCCAAAAAUUAUUCAAAAAUUUGAAGAUUUCAGAUAUUUUGAGCAGAAGAUUCGAGAAUUUUCGAGGGUUAUAUAUAGGAGGUAAGUCUUCUUUUUCAAAGUUGGAGGAAAAUAUAAAGAAAAUAAAAGGAAAAAAUCAGAGAGAAAAGAUCGAAAGAAAAAAUCUUCAGUAGCUGGGUCAAAAUUUUCUAAGGAAAAACUCACUGGUUCGAGUUCUUUUGAGGUUCUGUUUUCUCAAGAAAACUCGAUUUUAAAAUUUCAAGUUGUGGUCGACUUUGUUUUGGAGCUCAAAUUUCUACAGUGUUUCAGUUAAGCUGUUUCUGGGUCUGUCGCUGCAUAUCCUGGGUUGCAUUGCUGCUUUUGAGGUGUUGAUUUCACUCUGUUGUGGUGCUGCUGUUAAGAAGCUUUAU